AACGAACGCUGGCGGCAGGCUUAACACAUGCAAGUCAAACGCACCGCAAGGUGAGUGGCAGACGGGUGAGUAACGCGUGGGAACCUACCCCUUGGUACGGGAUAGCUCCGGGAAACUGGAGAUAAUACCGUAUGUGACCUGAGGGUCAAAGACUCAUCGCCAAGGGAUGGGCCCGCGUCGGAUUAGCUAGUUGGUGGGGUAACGGCCUACCAAGGCGACGAUCCGUAGCUGGUCUAAGAGGAUGAUCAGCCACAUUGGGACUGAGACACGGCCCAAACUCCUACGGGAGGCAGCAGUGGGGAAUAUUGGACAAUGGGCGCAAGCCUGAUCCAGCCAUGCCGCGUGAGUGAUGAAGGCCCUAGGGUUGUAAAGCUCUUUCACCGGGGACGAUAAUGACGGUACCCGGAGAAGAAGCCCCGGCUAACUUCGUGCCAGCCGCCGCCGUAA
RNAcentral lists this ribosomal RNA (447 nucleotides) under uncultured bacterium. Its description in RNAcentral is "partial 16S ribosomal RNA". It matches the Rfam family "Bacterial small subunit ribosomal RNA", at positions 29 to 523 of the family's 1533-position model. The record is from RNAcentral.